RNAcentral lists this ribosomal RNA (253 nucleotides) under uncultured bacterium. Its description in RNAcentral is "partial 16S ribosomal RNA". It matches the Rfam family "Bacterial small subunit ribosomal RNA", at positions 524 to 776 of the family's 1533-position model. The record is from RNAcentral.
GACGAACCGAGCGAACGUUGUUCGGAAUCACUGGGCUUAAAGGGCGCGUAGGCGGGUGCUCAAGUCCGGGGUGAAAUCCUCCAGCUCAACUGGAGAACUGCCUCGGAUACUGUGUGUCUCGAGGGUGGUAGGGGUAUGCGGAACUAUCGGUGGAGCGGUGAAAUGCGUUGAUAUCGAUAGGAACUCCGGUGGCGAAGGCGGCAUACUGGACCACAUCUGACGCUGAGGCGCGAAAGCCAGGGGAGCAAGCGGG